RNAcentral lists this long non-coding RNA (282 nucleotides) under Nicotiana benthamiana. RNAcentral's name for it is "long non-coding RNA (NBEN_LNC023983)". Lineage: Eukaryota; Viridiplantae; Streptophyta; Magnoliopsida; Solanales; Solanaceae. The record is from RNAcentral.
AAUUAACUAUUUGUGUAGCUUGGAAAGCCGUCCUUUAUGGGUUGUUGAAGCCACCCCCGUUGUAGGGAAAGUUUCGUAUAUAUAGUUUAGUUUGCUUUCAUGGAGUCUCUUCCUCUGUUCUUUUGUACUGUGGAGGUCCCUGGCAUGUGGGAUCCAAUUCUUUCUUCAUUCCAAUUUUUUGUCCAUCGUUUCCAUAUAACUUCGGCACCAUCAGUAUUUGGUACACUCUCAGAAAUUUCACGAGAAAGAAAAAUGGUAAGCAAGGACAUAACAAUAUUAUUA